GGGCCCGUAGCUCAGCCAGGAUAGAGCGGCGGGCUUUUAACCCGUAGGUCCCGGGUUCAAAUCCCGGCGGGCCCGCCA
This 78-nucleotide transfer RNA is filed under the name Thermoproteota archaeon. RNAcentral describes it as "tRNA-Lys". It matches the Rfam family "tRNA". From Rfam's summary of the family: Transfer RNA (tRNA) molecules are approximately 80 nucleotides in length. Their secondary structure includes four short double-helical elements and three loops (D, anti-codon, and T loops). RNAcentral also lists the same sequence under 3 other names. Lineage: Archaea; Thermoproteati; Thermoproteota. The record is from RNAcentral.